AGCAGCCGCGGUAAUUCCAGCUCCAAUAGCGUAUAUUAAAGUUGUUGCAGCUAAAAAGCUCGUAGUUGAAUUUCGGGACCAAUAUGUCGGUCGUACUUUGUACGUACUAGCAUUAUUGGUUUCUCCCUUCUGAAGAACCGCGAUGUCAUUAAUUUGGUGUCGUGGGGAAUCAGGACUGUUACUUUGAAAAAUUAGAGUGUUUAAAGCAGGCUCGCGCUUGAAUACAUUAGCAUGGAAUAAUGAAAUAGGACGUUUGAUUCUAUUUUGUUGGUUUCUAGGAUCGACGUAAUGAUUAAUAGGGAUAGUUGGGGGCAUUAGUAUUCAAUUGUCAGAGGUGAAAUUCUUGGAUUUAUUGAAGACUAACUACUGCGAAAGCAUUUGCCAAGGAUGUUUUCAUUAAUCAAGAACGAAAGUUAGGGGAUCGAAGACGAUCAGAUACCGUCGUAGUCUUAACCAUAAACUAUGCCGACUAGGGAUCGGAUGAUGUUAAUUUUUAAUGUACUCAUUCGGCG
This 512-nucleotide ribosomal RNA is filed under the name uncultured Glomus. Its description in RNAcentral is "SSU rRNA". It matches the Rfam family "Eukaryotic small subunit ribosomal RNA", at positions 569 to 1085 of the family's 1831-position model. The record is from RNAcentral. Lineage: Eukaryota; Fungi; Glomeromycota; Glomeromycetes; Glomerales; Glomeraceae.